GACGAACGCUGGCGGCGUGCUUAACACAUGCAAGUCGAACGGUGAAGCGCCUUCCUUUUUGGUGGGUGUGGAUGAGUGGCGAACGGGUGAGUAACACGUGAGUAACCUGCCCCCUUCUUCUGGAUAACCGCAUGAAAGUGUGGCUAAUACGGGAUAUUCUGGGUCUGUCGCAUGAUGGGUCUGGGAAAGAUAUUGUUUCGGUGGGGGAUGGGCUCGCGGCCUAUCAGCUUGUUGGUGGGGUGAUGGCCUACCAAGGGGGUGACGGGUAGCCGGCCGGGGAGGGUGGCCGGUCACACUGGGACGGAGACACGGCCCAUACUCCUACGGGGGGCAGCAGUGGUGAAUAUGGCACAAUGGGCGCAAGCCUGAUGCAGCGACGCCGCGUGAGGGAUGGAGGCCUUCGGGUUGUGAACCUCUUUCGCCAGUGAAGCAGGCCUGCCUCGUUUGUGGGUGGGUUGACGGUAGCUGGAGAAGAAGCGCCGGCUAACUACGUG
RNAcentral lists this ribosomal RNA (494 nucleotides) under uncultured bacterium. RNAcentral describes it as "partial 16S ribosomal RNA". It matches the Rfam family "Bacterial small subunit ribosomal RNA", at positions 28 to 507 of the family's 1533-position model. The record is from RNAcentral.